Molecule: ribosomal RNA, 458 nt
Filed under: uncultured bacterium
Lineage: Bacteria
Description: partial 16S ribosomal RNA
Rfam family: Bacterial small subunit ribosomal RNA
Source: RNAcentral
CCUACGGGGGGCAGCAGUGAGGAAUAUUGGUCAAUGGGCGAGAGCCUGAACCAGCCAAGUCGCGUGAGGGAGUACUACCCUAUGGGUUGUAAACUUCUUUUGUCGGGGAGCAAAAGCCGGACGUGUCCGGCUGUGAGAGUACCCGAAGCAAAAGCAUCGGCUAACUACGGGCCAGCAGCCGCGGUAAUAGGGGGGAUGCAGGCGUUUUCCGGAGUUUAUGGGGUUAAAGGGUGCGCAGGCGGAUUUUUAAGUCAGCGGUCAAAUCCUGGGGCUCAACCCCAUCCAGCCGUUGACACUGGGGAUCUAGAGUGAACGAGAGGUAGGCGGAAUGCGUGGUGUAGCGGUGAAAUGCAUAGAUAUCACGCAGAACCCCGAUUGCGAAGGCAGCAUACCGGUGCACAACUGACGCUCAGGCACGAAAGCGUGGGUAUCGAACAGGAUUAGAUACCCUGGUAGUC